RNAcentral lists this long non-coding RNA (202 nucleotides) under Notechis scutatus (mainland tiger snake). RNAcentral describes it as "lncRNA (ENSNSUG00000002800.1)". Lineage: Eukaryota; Metazoa; Chordata; Lepidosauria; Squamata; Elapidae. The record is from RNAcentral.
UGUCUCCGGAGGAGACGGCGGCGAGGAGGCGGAGGCAGAAGCGGCUGGAGCGGUGGCGGCCGAUGGAUUGAACCUUCAUACAGGAACUAACAACCUGAAACCACAAAAGAAUGUGUGUUGAAGAUUAUGGAAGAAAAAGAGAAGCUAUUAACUGCAUUGAAAGAUUACUGCAACAUCGAUAUGGCUUUUGUGGCUGAAUUAC